AGCGAACGCUGGCGGCAGGCUUAACACAUGCAAGUCGAGCGGGCCCUUCGGGGUCAGCGGCAGACGGGUGAGUAACACGUGGGAACGUACCCUUUGGUUCGGAAUAACGCUGGGAAACUAGCGCUAAUACCGGAUACGCCCUUUUGGGGAAAGGCUUGCUGCCGAAGGAUCGGCCCGCGUCUGAUUAGCUAGUUGGUGGGGUAAUGGCCUACCAAGGCGACGAUCAGUAGCUGGUCUGAGAGGAUGAUCAGCCACACUGGGACUGAGACACGGCCCAGACUCCUACGGGAGGCAGCAGUGGGGAAUAUUGGACAAUAGGCGCAAGCCUGAUCCAGCCAUGCCGCGUGAGUGAUGAAGGCCUUAGGGUUGUAAAGCUCUUUUGUCCGGGACGAUAAUGACGGUACCGGAAGAAUAAGCCCCGGCUAACUUCGUG
This 433-nucleotide ribosomal RNA is filed under the name uncultured bacterium. Its description in RNAcentral is "partial 16S ribosomal RNA". It matches the Rfam family "Bacterial small subunit ribosomal RNA", at positions 29 to 507 of the family's 1533-position model. The record is from RNAcentral.